Molecule: ribosomal RNA, 541 nt
Filed under: Glossobalanus marginatus
Lineage: Eukaryota; Metazoa; Hemichordata; Enteropneusta; Ptychoderidae
Description: partial 16S ribosomal RNA
Rfam family: Bacterial large subunit ribosomal RNA
Source: RNAcentral
UGGGGGGUACAGCCUGCCCAGUGAAUAACUUUUAACGGCCGCGGUAUCUUGACCGUGCAAAGGUAGCACAAUCACUAGCCCCCUAAAUAGGGGCCUGUAUGAAUGGCAUCACGAGGGUCCAACUGUCUCCUCUUUAAUUACUGAAACUUCUCUAGCUGUGCAAAAGCAGCUAUUAAAGCGCUAGACGAGAAGACCCUAUCGAGCUUAAGGGGCCCAAGAAUAGUUUAGUGUUAAUUCCACUAAUAAAAUAUACUAUUUUAAUUAAGAAAUUAACGAUACCUAUUUUCUUCCAACCCCUUUGGUUGGGGCAACCUCGGAGAACAAACAUCCUCCGAACUAACUAAUUUUUAAAGACAUUACGUCUUAAACAUUAACCAAAAAAUAAAAGAUCCGAUUAUUUCUUAUCGAACAAUAAACAAAGUUACCGUAGGGAUAACAGCGUAAUCCCUCCUAAGAGCCCGCAUUGCCGGAGGGGUUUGCGACCUCGAUGUUGGAUCGGGGAACCCCGAUGGUGCAGCCGCUAUCAACGGUUGGUCUGUUC